UACAGAGGUCUCAAGCGUUGUUCGGAUUCAUUGGGCGUAAAGGGUGCGUAGGCGGCGCGGUAAGUCGGGUGUGAAAUCUCGGAGCUUAACUCCGAAACUGCAUUCGAUACUGCCGUGCUUGAGGACUGGAGAGGAGACUGGAAUUUACGGUGUAGCGGUGAAAUGCGUAGAUAUCGGAAGGAACAUCAGUGGCGAAAGCGGCUUCCUGGACCAGAACUGACGAUCAGGCUCGAAAGCGUGGGGAGCAAACAGG
RNAcentral lists this ribosomal RNA (253 nucleotides) under uncultured bacterium. RNAcentral's name for it is "partial 16S ribosomal RNA". It matches the Rfam family "Bacterial small subunit ribosomal RNA", at positions 524 to 776 of the family's 1533-position model. The record is from RNAcentral.